UCCCUGGCAGUCCAUUGGUUAAGACUCUGAGCUUCCUCUGUAGGGGCCACAGGUUCGAUCCCUGUUCAGGGAA
Molecule: transfer RNA, 73 nt
Filed under: Bos taurus (domestic cattle)
Lineage: Eukaryota; Metazoa; Chordata; Mammalia; Artiodactyla; Bovidae
Also listed under: 5 other names
Rfam family: tRNA
About the family: Transfer RNA (tRNA) molecules are approximately 80 nucleotides in length. Their secondary structure includes four short double-helical elements and three loops (D, anti-codon, and T loops).
Source: Rfam by way of RNAcentral